RNAcentral lists this ribosomal RNA (165 nucleotides) under Myxotrichaceae sp. Its description in RNAcentral is "partial large subunit ribosomal RNA". It matches the Rfam family "Eukaryotic large subunit ribosomal RNA", at positions 99 to 261 of the family's 3401-position model. Lineage: Eukaryota; Fungi; Ascomycota; Leotiomycetes; Myxotrichaceae. The record is from RNAcentral.
CGGCAUCAGCUCAAAUUUGAAAUCUGGCUCUUUCAGGGUCCGAGUUGUAAUUUGCAGAGGGAGCUUUCGAGUUGGCAGCGGUCUAAGUUCCUUGGAACAGGACGUCACAGAGGGUGAGAAUCCCGUACGUGCCCGGUGGCCGCGCCCGUGUGAAGCUCUUUCGAC